UACGGGGGGGGCAAGCGUUGUUCGGAAUUACUGGGCGUAAAGGGCUCGUAGGCGGCCAACUAAGUCGGAUGUGAAAUCCCCAAGCUUAACUUGGGAACUGCAUCCGAUACUGGAUGGCUUGAAUCCGGGAGAGGGAUGCAGAAUUCCAGGUGUAGCGGUGAAAUGCGUAGAUAUCGAGAGGAACACCUGCGGCGAAGGCGGGUUGCUGGGCUGAUACUGACGCUGAGGCGCGAAAGCCAGGGGAGCGAACGGG
Molecule: ribosomal RNA, 253 nt
Filed under: uncultured bacterium
Lineage: Bacteria
Description: partial 16S ribosomal RNA
Rfam family: Bacterial small subunit ribosomal RNA
Source: RNAcentral